This 443-nucleotide ribosomal RNA is filed under the name uncultured bacterium. Its description in RNAcentral is "partial 16S ribosomal RNA". It matches the Rfam family "Bacterial small subunit ribosomal RNA", at positions 338 to 795 of the family's 1533-position model. The record is from RNAcentral.
CCUACGGGAGGCAGCAGUGGGGAAUAUUGGGCAAUGGGCGCAAGCCUGACCCAGCAACGCCGCGUGAAGGAAGAAGGCUUUCGGGUUGUAAACUUCUUUUCUCAGGGACGAAGAAAGUGACGGUAUCUGAGGAAUAAGCCACGGCUAACUACGUGCCAGCAGCCGCGGUAAUACGUAGGUGGCAAGCGUUAUCCGGAUUUAUUGGGUGUAAAGGGCGUGUAGGCGGGAGCGCAAGUCAGAUGUGAAAACUCAGGGCUCAACCCUGAGCCUGCAUUUGAAACUGUGUUUCUUGAGUGCUGGGGAGGCAAUCGGAAUUCCGUGUGUAGCGGUGAAAUGCGUAGAUAUACGGAGGAACACCAGUGGCGAAGGCGGAUUGCUGGACAGUAACUGACGCUGAGGCGCGAAAGCGUGGGGAGCAAACAGGAUUAGAUACCCCAGUAGUC